UCUUUCCUCUCUAAUGUGUUGAGGCGGCCACAUGAAAAAAACCAAUCUAGAAUGAUCUAAACCUUAUACAGUAGGCUAAAAAUAUGUGUGCCUCAAAAAAUUCCAGGCGCAUGUAUCAGUCCUUAACUGCAGAGAAAUAAAGUAUGUCAAUACUCCUCAAUUUUACAGAAUGAGACCGUUAACAGCUGAGAACCAUCGUACGAUACUUCUACCAACUGUUUCAGGUAUAUUCCGCUUGUUCAUAAAACUAACCAGAAUUAAGGAAACUCGCUUAUUAUUAGAAACAGUAAUCAAUCUUUCAAAUACUCUAUGGUACCUUAAUGAAACGGAGUAUUUAUGUCAAAUUCUACGGAAAAUCCGUAGCAUGGAACUACACCGGACGCCAUUUUGAAGUUAAGAUACUAUCGCAUAUAGUAUGCGAUUCCACGAGCUGUUACUAUGAAUAUUACUAAAAUUCCUCUGAGGUCAUACUCUUUCGAAUGAUUGACACGUCAGCUGCUGUGCUUGGCCAUCCUAUCAGUUCCAUUUUUGAAGGACUCUUAUUAAAAGUCAUAAGGACUUAGCCUGUCAAAGUGGAACUGACCUUAUAGCACGAUUAUACAAGGUGAUUCCAAUAUAAUCAACAUUCUCACCAUACGCUUGCAAGUUCAGAAUUAUACAUAUAAAUUCAAAUUAAGGCAUACAAAUUAUAUCAUGAAAUAGUAAUACUGAGAAUUUAUGAGCACCAUAUCACAAAUAAAUGAUGCAUCGCUCUUUCUUUUUCAUGAGAAGUGCCAAUGGCAGUAGGUUGUCGGAUAGAAGCGGAAUCAAUGUGUCUUUACGAGUGUCGUACGUACGUCGAUAUAGGGCAUAAUUAAAUGACCCUGAAAACUAUAACGUUUCCAGUUUUACAUUAAAUAAUGCAAAACCGAAAAUUAAAAUAUAUUCGAAAACACCUUU
Molecule: long non-coding RNA, 939 nt
Organism: Cephus cinctus (wheat stem sawfly)
Lineage: Eukaryota; Metazoa; Arthropoda; Insecta; Hymenoptera; Cephidae
Exons: 2
Source: RefSeq, a predicted model, not a curated record